Molecule: ribosomal RNA, 1884 nt
Filed under: Strigula cf. macaronesica
Lineage: Eukaryota; Fungi; Ascomycota; Dothideomycetes; Strigulales; Strigulaceae
Description: partial small subunit ribosomal RNA
Rfam family: Eukaryotic small subunit ribosomal RNA
Source: RNAcentral
CCUCACCGCGUGCACUGGUCCGGCCGGGCUCUUCCUCCCGGGGAGCCGCAUGCCCUUCGCUGGGUGUGCCGGGGAUCCGGGACUUUUACUUUGAAAAAAUUAGAGUGUUCAAAGCAGGCCUUUGCUCGGAUACAUUAGCAUGGAAUAAUGGAAUAGGACGUGCGGUUCUAUUUUGUUGGUUUCUAGGACCGCCGUAAUGAUUAAUAGGGACAGUCGGGGGCGUCAGUAUUCAAUUGUCAGAGGUGAAAUUCUUGGAUUUAUUGAAGACUAGCUACUGCGAAAGCAUUCGCCAAGGAUGUUUUCAUUAAUCAGUGAACGAAAGCUGGGGGAUCGAAGACGAUCAGAUACCGUCGUAGUCUCAGCCGUAAACUAUGCCGACUAGGGAUCGGGCGGUGUUACUUGUUGACCCGCUCGGCACCUUACGAGAAAUCAAAGUUUUUGGGUUCUGGGGGGAGUAUGGUCGCAAGGCUGAAACUUAAAGAAAUUGACGGAAGGGCACCACCAGGCGUGAACGUUGAGCUUCCGCAGACUCUGCGCCGCAAAGCAGCCCGAGAGGGUGGGUGGUGGCCCGCGCAAGCAAGUGCUAGUCCGCCGCGGCGGGCGACGCGCCCAAACUGCGGGGACUCCCUGAAGCGUCGGACACCAAGCCGCGCGCCGAAAGGCGCCGGUGGCCGGGCUAACGCCCCCGGGUACGGUGACAGCGCCGGCGUAUUGGGUUAUCCGCAGCCAGCCCCUAAGUCCUGCGGGAUACGGGGAGGGUUCAGAGGCCAGAUGGGUGCGGGGGGCCGCUGCCGGCCCCCCAAGGUAUGGUCCACCCGCCGGUGAAAGCCGGCGGUCCAGGCGGGAGCCUGCGGCUUAAUUUGACUCAACACGGGGAAACUUACCAGGUCCAGACACAGGAAGGAUUGACAGAUUGAGAGCUCUUUCUUGAUUCUGUGGGUGGUGGUGCAUGGCCGKUCUUAGUUGGUGGGUACCCUUUUUUCAUUUUCACCGUGGUUUAGAUUCAGUUUACUAACGAUUUUACAGGUGGAGUGAUUUGUCUGCUUAAUUGCGAUAACGAACGAGACCUUAACCUGCUAAAUAGCCAGGCUGGCUCCGGCCGGUCGCAGGCUUCUUAGAGGGACUAUCGGCUCAAGCCGAUGGAAGUUUGAGGCAAUAACAGGUUAAAGGGGGGGGUCUCCUCGAGGGACCCCCCAUCACAGGCCUGUAACGGCGGUCAUCCGCCAGUCCAGCGUCUUUACCUCCCCGGGGGAGCCCCCGCUGUCGGGGGGAGGGGCACUCGGUGCCUGACGUGGGCGACACCACCUGGAACAGGGGACGCCAAACGGGCCUUCGGGUGCCGUGGCCAAUCCUGUGGCGAGCCUGGGUAGCGCCGGGCCGUCGCAACGCGCGCAAAGGGGUGGGCUGCUGUACGGCGGCUUAAGGUACGUGCUAAUCCCUCGGGAAACCGAGCUCUCGCGAGGAGGCCCGGCAGGUCAAAUCGCGGGGGGCCGUCUGGCGUGAAGCCGGGCGGCGGUGGGAUUCGGUUGCGGGUGGGUGCGAGUUUCCGCCCGCCGCCGGGCCCCGGAUGCUGUGAUGCCCUUAGAUGUUCUGGGCCGCACGCGCGCUACACUGACGGGCCCAACGAGUUCGCUCCUUGGCCGAGAGGCCUGGGUAAUCUUGUUAAAGCCCGUCGUGCUGGGGAUAGAGCAUUGCAAUUAUUGCUCUUCAACGAGGAAUGCCUAGUAAGCGCGUGUCAUCAGCACGCGUUGAUUACGUCCCUGCCCUUUGUACACACCGCCCGUCGCUACUACCGAUUGAAUGGCUCAGUGAGGCCUUCGGACCGGCCCAGGGAGGUUGGCAACGACCACCCAGGGCUGGAAAGUCGGUCAAACUUGGUCAUUU